UAUGUUGAAUCUUUCUAUACUUAAUGAGUUGACCUAUUUCAGUCUUUUUUUUUAAUUAUAUGCACCAGCACAAAAAGCUAGACUCUAUUUUAGAUAAAAAUCUCUCACUACUGAAUAGAAAAUUCCUCUAGUUAAGCCCCUUCUUAGGUAAGGCAUCGCAAACUCCUCACCUUUUGCCAGAGAGCCAAGGCAGCAAGAUAAGAUAUAGAGCAGGGUAU
This 218-nucleotide long non-coding RNA is filed under the name Carica papaya (papaya). Its description in RNAcentral is "long non-coding RNA (CPAP_LNC001178)". Lineage: Eukaryota; Viridiplantae; Streptophyta; Magnoliopsida; Brassicales; Caricaceae. The record is from RNAcentral.